UCGUCGGCUCGUGUUGUGAAAUGUUGGGUUAAGUCCCCGCAACGAGCGCAACCCUUAUCCUUUGUUGCCAGCGUUCGGCCGGGAACUCAAAGGAGACUGCCAGUGAUAAACUGGAGGAAGGUGGGGAUGACGUCAAGUCAUCAUGGCCCUUACGAGUAGGGCUACACACGUGCUACAAUGGCGUAUACAAAGAGAAGCGACCUCGCGAGAGCAAGCGGACCUCAUAAAGUGCGUCGUAGUCCGGAUUGGAGUCUGCGACUCGACUCCAUGAAGUCGGAAUCGCUAGUAAUCGUAGAUCAGAAUGCUACGGUGAAUACGUUCCCGGGCCUUGUACACACCGCCCGUCACACCAUGGGAGUGGGUA
This 364-nucleotide ribosomal RNA is filed under the name uncultured Enterobacteriaceae bacterium. RNAcentral's name for it is "bacterial SSU rRNA". It matches the Rfam family "Bacterial small subunit ribosomal RNA", at positions 1052 to 1416 of the family's 1533-position model. The record is from RNAcentral. Lineage: Bacteria; Pseudomonadati; Pseudomonadota; Gammaproteobacteria; Enterobacterales; Enterobacteriaceae.